Molecule: transfer RNA, 85 nt
Filed under: Elusimicrobia bacterium RIFCSPLOWO2_01_FULL_60_11
Lineage: Bacteria; Pseudomonadati; Elusimicrobiota
Description: tRNA-Ser
Rfam family: tRNA
About the family: Transfer RNA (tRNA) molecules are approximately 80 nucleotides in length. Their secondary structure includes four short double-helical elements and three loops (D, anti-codon, and T loops).
Source: RNAcentral
GGAGGGUUGGCCGAGUGGUUUAAGGCGCUGGUCUUGAAAACCAGUGUGGGGCAACUCACCGGGAGUUCGAAUCUCUCACCCUCCG